AGAUCAGCCAGUGGAUUACCGACAUAGCUGCUGAAUAUCCCAACAUUGUCACCGUUAUAACAGCGUCACAGACAUACGAAGGCAGGAACGUCCGGGGUCUUAAGAUAUCAGCGAGCAAUACAACGAAACCAGGCCUGUGGUACCAAGGCGGUAUACACGCCCGAGAGUGGAUCUCCCCCGCCACUGUAAUAUACAUCACAGCACAGUUACUGGAACAAUACCCCACACGGUCAGGGGUGAAGGAGAUUCUGGAGGGAUUUGAUAUCUACGUCGUUCCCGUCCUCAACGCCGACGGCUACGUCUUUACGUGGACAGAGGAACGUCUCUGGAGGAAGACGAGAACAGAGCAUGGCAUUUGCAAGGGGGUCGACCCAAACAGGAAUUACGGAUUUCAGUGGGGAG
Molecule: long non-coding RNA, 402 nt
Organism: Haliotis rubra (blacklip abalone)
Lineage: Eukaryota; Metazoa; Mollusca; Gastropoda; Lepetellida; Haliotidae
Exons: 4
Source: RefSeq, a predicted model, not a curated record